Molecule: ribosomal RNA, 429 nt
Filed under: bacterium
Lineage: Bacteria
Description: partial 16S ribosomal RNA
Rfam family: Bacterial small subunit ribosomal RNA
Source: RNAcentral
UAGGGAAUCUUCGGCAAUGGGGGCAACCCUGACCGAGCAACGCCGCGUGAGUGAAGAAGGUUUUCGGAUCGUAAAGCUCUGUUGUAAGAGAAGAACGUGUGUGAGAGUGGAAAGUUCACACAGUGACGGUAACUUACCAGAAAGGGACGGCUAACUACGUGCCAGCAGCCGCGGUAAUACGUAGGUCCCGAGCGUUGUCCGGAUUUAUUGGGCGUAAAGCGAGCGCCGGCGGUUUAAUAAGUCUGAAGUUAAAGGCAGUGGCUUAACCAUUGUUCACUUUGGAAACUGUUACACUUGAGUGCAGAAGGAGAGAGUGGAAUUCCAUGUGUAGCGGUGAAAUGCUUAGAUAUAUGGAGGAGCACCGGUGGCGAAAGCGGCUCUCUGGUCUGUAACUGACGCUGAGGCUCGAAAGCGUGGGGAGCAAACAGG